RNAcentral lists this long non-coding RNA (245 nucleotides) under Homo sapiens (human). Its description in RNAcentral is "HSALNT0208256". The record is from RNAcentral. Lineage: Eukaryota; Metazoa; Chordata; Mammalia; Primates; Hominidae.
CAAUAGUCCAGUUCCUUAAAAUCAAUACCCAUCCUCACUGCCCAAUAGUCACACACCUCUGUGGGCCAAUGAUCCGAAACCCACAGGUCAAUAGCCCAUCCCUAUGCAUCAGUGGCCUCAUUGCCACAGACCAGUAGCCUCAUUCCUAUGGAACCAUGGUUUCAUCCCCAAAGAUCAAUAAUUUGGUCUUCUAAAAUCUGUAGCCUUCAGCACAUUAACCAAUAAGCCCAUCCUCAUGGAAAAAU